RNAcentral lists this ribosomal RNA (423 nucleotides) under uncultured bacterium. RNAcentral's name for it is "bacterial SSU rRNA". It matches the Rfam family "Bacterial small subunit ribosomal RNA", at positions 207 to 622 of the family's 1533-position model. The record is from RNAcentral.
AAGACCUUGCGCUUUUGGAGCGGCCGAUGCCUGAUUAGCUUGUUGGUAAGGUAAAAGCUUACCAAGGCUUCGAUCAGUAGCUGGUCUGAGAGGACGACCAGCCACACUGGGACUGAGACACGGCCCAGACUCCUACGGGAGGCAGCAGUGGGGAAUUUUGGACAAUGGGGGCAACCCUGAUCCAGCCAUGCCGCGUGAGUGAAGAAGGCCUUCGGGUUGUAAAGCUCUUUCAGCCGGAACGAAACGGUUACGGUUAAUACCCGUGAUUACUGACGGUACCGGAAGAAGAAGCACCGGCUAACUACGUGCCAGCAGCCGCGGUAAUACGUAGGGUGCAAGCGUUAAUCGGAAUUACUGGGCGUAAAGCGUGCGCAGGUGGUUUUGUAAGUCAGAUGUGAAAUCCCCGGGCUUAACCUGGGAACU